UAGCUCAGCAGGUUAGAGCACAGUGCUGGUAAUGCUGAGGUCAUCGGUUCAAACCCCAU
This 59-nucleotide transfer RNA is filed under the name Poecilia formosa (Amazon molly). It matches the Rfam family "tRNA", at positions 8 to 63 of the family's 71-position model. From Rfam's summary of the family: Transfer RNA (tRNA) molecules are approximately 80 nucleotides in length. Their secondary structure includes four short double-helical elements and three loops (D, anti-codon, and T loops). Further hydrogen bonds mediate the characteristic L-shaped molecular structure. tRNAs have two regions of fundamental functional importance: the anti-codon, which is responsible for specific mRNA codon recognition, and the 3' end, to which the tRNAs corresponding amino acid is attached (by aminoacyl-tRNA synthetases). tRNAs cope with the degeneracy of the genetic code in two manners: having more than one tRNA (with a specific anti-codon) for a particular amino acid; and 'wobble' base-pairing, i.e. permitting non-standard base-pairing at the 3rd anti-codon position. The record is from Rfam by way of RNAcentral. Lineage: Eukaryota; Metazoa; Chordata; Actinopteri; Cyprinodontiformes; Poeciliidae.